RNAcentral lists this ribosomal RNA (588 nucleotides) under uncultured bacterium. Its description in RNAcentral is "bacterial SSU rRNA". It matches the Rfam family "Bacterial small subunit ribosomal RNA", at positions 337 to 917 of the family's 1533-position model. The record is from RNAcentral.
UCCUACGGGAGGCAGCAGUGGGGAAUAUUGCACAAUGGGGGAAACCCUGAUGCAGCCAUGCCGCGUGUGUGAAGAAGGCCUUCGGGUUGUAAAGCACUUUCAGUAGGGAGGAAGGUAGUGUAGUUAACACCUGCACUAUUUGACGUUACCUACAGAAGAAGCACCGGCUAACUCCGUGCCAGCAGCCGCGGUAAUACGGAGGGUGCGAGCGUUAAUCGGAAUUACUGGGCGUAAAGCGCAUGCAGGCGGCCUAUUAAGUCAGAUGUGAAAGCCCGGGGCUUAACCUCGGAAUUGCAUUUGAAACUGGCAGGCUAGAGUCUUGUAGAGGGGGGUAGAAUUUCAGGUGUAGCGGUGAAAUGCGUAGAGAUCUGAAGGAAUACCAGUGGCGAAGGCGGCCCCCUGGACAAAGACUGACGCUCAGAUGCGAAAGCGUGGGGAGCAAACAGGAUUAGAUACCCUGGUAGUCCACGCCGUAAACGAUGUCUACUUGGAGGUUGUGGCCUUGAGCCGUGGCUUUCGGAGCUAACGCGUUAAGUAGACCGCCUGGGGAGUACGGUCGCAAGAUUAAAACUCAAAUGAAUUGACGGA